AUACGUAGGGAGCGAGCGUUGUCCGGAAUUACUGGGUGUAAAGGGAGCGUAGGCGGGAGUGCAAGUCAGAUGUGAAAUACAUGGGCUCAACCCAUGGGCUGCAUUUGAAACUGCAGGACUUGAGUGAAGUAGAGGUACGCGGAAUUCCUGGUGUAGCGGUGAAAUGCGUAGAUAUCAGGAGGAACACCGGUGGCGAAGGCGGCUUACUGGGCUUUUACUGACGCUGAGGCUCGAAAGCGUGGGGAGCAAACAGGAUUAGAUACCCUGGUAGUCCACGCUGUAAACGAUGAUUACUAGGUGUGGGGGGACUGACCCCUUCCGUGCCGCAGUUAACACAAUAAGUAAUCCACCUGGGGAGUACGGCCGCAAGGUUGAAACUCAAAUGAAUUGGCGGGG
RNAcentral lists this ribosomal RNA (396 nucleotides) under uncultured bacterium. RNAcentral describes it as "partial 16S ribosomal RNA". It matches the Rfam family "Bacterial small subunit ribosomal RNA", at positions 523 to 918 of the family's 1533-position model. The record is from RNAcentral.